This is a non-coding RNA of Podarcis lilfordi (Lilford's wall lizard), 79 nucleotides long. The record is from the annotation of a GenBank genome assembly. Lineage: Eukaryota; Metazoa; Chordata; Lepidosauria; Squamata; Lacertidae.
GGGGAUGGACCAUAUAGCUCAAUGGUAGAGCACAUGUUUUGCAUCCAGAAGGUCGCAGGUUCAAUCCCAGGCAUCUCCA